GAAUCCUGCCUAGCAGAAUGACCAGAGAACUCGUAACGAACUCAAUGGGGACGUUGGGAUUUUUUCUCAUCGUCCUUCGACGUCGGGAUCGCACGGGCGCCUAGAGCGCUCGAGCUUUUUCCCGACGGCACAACGAACCCCGGCGCGGAAUGCGCCAAGGAACUUGAACAAGAGAGCGAUGCUCCCACCAUCCCAAACAUGGUGCGUGCGUGGGAUGCCAUGCAAUCUCCUAUUUAUUCAUAACGACUCUCGGCAACGGAUAUCUCGGCUCUCGCAUCGAUGAAGAACGUAGCGAACUGCGAUACUUGGUGUGAAUUGCAGAAUCCCGUGAACCAUCGAGUCUUUGAACGCAAGUUGCGCCCGAAGCCAUUCGGUUGAGGGCACGUUUGCCUGGGUGUCACACACGGCGUUGCCCCCAAUCCCUCGCCCUGUAUUGGGUGGGCAGGAUCGGGGUGCGUAUGUUGGCCUCCCGCGACGACUCAGUCUCGGUUGGCCCAAAAUCGAGCGCUGGAGCGAUUAGCACCACGACAUUCGGUGGUUGUUGAAACCCCAAUGAACAAAUGUCAUGCGUGCCCGCUCGAUGUGAGCGCUCCACGAAUCUACUCUUCACCAAC
RNAcentral lists this ribosomal RNA (614 nucleotides) under Archirhodomyrtus turbinata. RNAcentral describes it as "eukaryotic LSU rRNA". The stretch from base 245 to 400 matches the Rfam family "5.8S ribosomal RNA". The record is from RNAcentral. Lineage: Eukaryota; Viridiplantae; Streptophyta; Magnoliopsida; Myrtales; Myrtaceae.